This is a small nuclear RNA of Suncus etruscus (white-toothed pygmy shrew), 158 nucleotides long. RefSeq annotates it as U1 spliceosomal RNA. The transcript has a single exon. Lineage: Eukaryota; Metazoa; Chordata; Mammalia; Eulipotyphla; Soricidae. The record is from RefSeq and is a predicted model, not a curated record.
AUACUACCUGGUAGAAGGAUACCAUGAUAACAAAGGUGGUUUAUUCAUUGCACUCUGGAUGUGCUGACCCCUGUGAUUUCCCCAAAUGUGGGAAACUCGACUGCAUAAUUUGUGGUAGUGGGGGACAAAAAAAAUGGAGGUGGAAGCACUCACCCCCU